AAAAAAAAAAUCGAUAGACAGAUGUUUUUUUUCAAAAUAUCAGAAAUAUUUUUAAAAAUAAAUCUAUGGAAAUAAAAAAAAUACUUUCGUAUAAAAAAAAUUGGACCCAUUUUCUUAUUUUUAAUAUAAAAAUACAUGUAUUUUUUUUUAAAUCGGUCCCUUAUCUAUUAAGAAAUAGGGGGACAACAGAUUGGGCCCGGAGCGGUCGCACCGUUCUGUUGAGAUGAGAUCAAUAUAUGGGAAGAGAAAGACAUGAGGAGUUGAGUAUGAUGAAGAGACCGUACAUGGCGUAGUAAUACUA
RNAcentral lists this long non-coding RNA (301 nucleotides) under Brassica napus (rape). RNAcentral describes it as "long non-coding RNA (BNAP_LNC024345)". Lineage: Eukaryota; Viridiplantae; Streptophyta; Magnoliopsida; Brassicales; Brassicaceae. The record is from RNAcentral.